GUCCUGGAUGUCCAAGAGCACGUC
RNAcentral lists this non-coding RNA (24 nucleotides) under Cricetulus griseus (Chinese hamster). The record is from RNAcentral. Lineage: Eukaryota; Metazoa; Chordata; Mammalia; Rodentia; Cricetidae.